GGCCCCUUCGUCUAAUGGUUAGGACACCAGGUUCUCAACUUGGUAAUACGGGUUCGAUUCCCGUAGGGGCUA
RNAcentral lists this transfer RNA (72 nucleotides) under Candidatus Uhrbacteria bacterium. Its description in RNAcentral is "tRNA-Glu". It matches the Rfam family "tRNA". Rfam says of the family: Transfer RNA (tRNA) molecules are approximately 80 nucleotides in length. Their secondary structure includes four short double-helical elements and three loops (D, anti-codon, and T loops). Lineage: Bacteria; Candidatus Uhriibacteriota. The record is from RNAcentral.